This 344-nucleotide unclassified non-coding RNA is filed under the name soil metagenome. Its description in RNAcentral is "partial contains 5.8S ribosomal RNA, internal transcribed spacer 2, and large subunit ribosomal RNA". The stretch from base 1 to 119 matches the Rfam family "5.8S ribosomal RNA", at positions 35 to 154 of the family's 154-position model. The record is from RNAcentral.
GAUGAAGAACGUAGUGAAAUGCGAUACGUAAUGUGAAUUGCAAAUUCAGUGAAUCAUCGAGUCUUUGAACGCACAUUGCGCCCCCUGGUAUUCCGGGGGGCAUGCCUGUCCGAGCGUCAUUGCUGCCCUCAAGCACGGCUUGUGUGUUGGGCCCCGUCCUCCGAUUCCGGGGGACGGGCCCGAAAGGCAGCGGCGGCACCGCGUCCGGUCCUCGAGCGUAUGGGGCUUUGUCACCCGCUCUGUAGGCCCGGCCGGCGCUUGCCGAUCAACCCAAAUUUUUAUCCAGGUUGACCUCGGAUCAGGUAGGGAUACCCGCUGAACUUAAGCAUAUCAAUAGCGGAGGA